This 439-nucleotide ribosomal RNA is filed under the name uncultured bacterium. Its description in RNAcentral is "partial 16S ribosomal RNA". It matches the Rfam family "Bacterial small subunit ribosomal RNA", at positions 339 to 795 of the family's 1533-position model. The record is from RNAcentral.
CUACGGGCGGCUCCAGUGGGGAAUAUUGCACAAUGGGGGAAACCCUGAUGCAGCAACGCCGCGUGGAGGAUGACGCAUUUCGGUGUGUAAACUCCUUUUAUAUCCCAAGAUAAUGACGGUAGGAUAUGAAUAAGCACCGGCUAACUCCGUGCCAGCAGCCGCGGUAAUACGGAGGGUGCAAGCGUUACUCGGAAUCACUGGGCGUAAAGGGCGCGUAGGCGGGUUGUCAAGUCUUGAGUGAAAUCCAACGGCUCAACCGUUGAACUGCUUGAGAAACUGGCAGCCUAGAGUAAGGGAGAGGUAGAUGGAAUUGGUGGUGUAGGGGUAAAAUCCGUAGAGAUCACCAGGAAUACCCAUUGCGAAGGCGAUCUGCUGGAACUUUACUGACGCUGAGGCGCGAAAGCGUGGGGAGCAAACAGGAUUAGAUACCCUCGUAGUC